CCGGCACGGGUGAGUAACGCGUAUGCAACUUACCUAUCAGAGGGGGAUAACCCGGCGAAAGUCGGACUAAUACCGCAUGAAGCAGGGGCCCCGCAUGGGGAUAUUUGCUAAAGAUUCAUCGCUGAUAGAUAGGCAUGCGUUCCAUUAGGCAGUUGGCGGGGUAACGGCCCACCAAGCCGACGAUGGAUAGGGGUUCUGAGAGGAAGGUCCCCCACAUUGGUACUGAGACACGGACCAA
RNAcentral lists this ribosomal RNA (238 nucleotides) under uncultured bacterium. RNAcentral's name for it is "partial 16S ribosomal RNA". It matches the Rfam family "Bacterial small subunit ribosomal RNA", at positions 100 to 334 of the family's 1533-position model. The record is from RNAcentral.